This 207-nucleotide ribosomal RNA is filed under the name uncultured bacterium. Its description in RNAcentral is "partial 16S ribosomal RNA". It matches the Rfam family "Bacterial small subunit ribosomal RNA", at positions 568 to 774 of the family's 1533-position model. The record is from RNAcentral.
UGCGUAGGUGGUUUGUUAAGUUUCAAAGUAAAAGUUAAGCGUAGAGCUUAAACGCUUUUUAAUACUAACUGACUAGAGUUUAUUAGAAGAUGGCUGAACAUUAAGUGUAAAGGUGAAAUUUUUCGAUAUUUAAAGGGCAUGCACUAGGCGAAGGCUGCUAUCUAUUUUAAUACUGACACUGAGGCACAAAAGCAUAGGGAUCAAACA